UCGGGAAUUUUGGGCAAUGGGCGAAAGCCUGACCCAGCAACGCCGCGUGAAGGAUGAAAUCCCUCGGGAUGUAAACUUCGCAAGAACGGGAAGAAUAAGUAAGAGCUAACAUCUCUUAUGAUGACGGUACUGUUUGUAAGCUCCGGCUAACUCCGUGCCAGCAGCCGCGGUAAUACGGGGGGAGCAAGCGUUGUUCGGAUUUACUGGGCGUAAAGGGCGCGUAGGCGGCCACCGCAAGUCGACUGUGAAAUCUCCGGGCUUAACUCGGAAAGGUCAGCCGAUACUGCGGGGCUAGAGUGCAGAAGGGGCAACUGGAAUUCUCGGUGUAGCGGUGAAAUGCGUAGAUAUCGAGAGGAACACCUGCGGCGAAGGCGGGUUGCUGGGCUGACACUGACGCUGAGGCGCGAAAGCUAGGGGGAGCGGAACGGGAUUAGAUACCCCGGUAGUCCACGCCGUAAACGAUGAUAACUAGCUGUCCGGGUUCACG
RNAcentral lists this ribosomal RNA (487 nucleotides) under uncultured Acidobacteriota bacterium. RNAcentral's name for it is "bacterial SSU rRNA". It matches the Rfam family "Bacterial small subunit ribosomal RNA", at positions 355 to 834 of the family's 1533-position model. The record is from RNAcentral. Lineage: Bacteria; Pseudomonadati; Acidobacteriota.